Molecule: unclassified non-coding RNA, 174 nt
Filed under: soil metagenome
Description: partial internal transcribed spacer 1
Source: RNAcentral
CACGAAGUUACGAAGGCUCCUAAAACCCUCGUGAACUAUCCAAGUUGCUUGGGCGCGGCUCCCUCACGGCGGACCGCAGCCCCGCCUCUCAGGUACGGUACGGGCAACCGCCAGGAGGUACCCGAAACUCUGUAUUCUAUAGUGGUAUCUCUGAGUAUAAACCAUAAUAAGUCA